CGCCGGAGAGCUUUUGGGCUUUCCCUCUCUCCUCAUCACGUGAGGACUGUGAAAAGGCAGCCAUCUACAAGCCAGGAAGAGAGCCUCUUCCAAGGACAGACUCUGCCAGACCUUGAUCUGGGACUGCUAGUUUCCAGAACUAUCUGUAGAACAGAAGUCUGGCAUGGCAUGGCGUGGCAUGGAUUCUUUGCUCAGAAUCUCACAAAGCCAAAAUCAAGGUGUUGGUAGGGCUGCAUUCCUUUUUGGCGGCUAUUGGGAAGAAUCUGUAUCCAAGCUGUAUCCAAGAUUGACUGGGCAGUUCUUCUACUGGUCUUGCUCAGAUUCCCUCACAGAGCUGGUUCUACUGGAGCUGGAGAGUCUAAGAUGGUCUCACCAUCAUGUUUGGGACCUUGACAGGGAUGAUUGCAAAGGUUUAUGUAACAAUGCGAAGGAGGCAAAGCAAAUCGAUGGUGUUCCUUGGCUGUGCAUGGAUCUUUAUUGUCCUUGUGUGCCUUCACUCCAACUCUGAUUAAAAAGGACUCU
This 522-nucleotide long non-coding RNA is filed under the name Homo sapiens (human). RNAcentral's name for it is "HSALNT0031815". The record is from RNAcentral. Lineage: Eukaryota; Metazoa; Chordata; Mammalia; Primates; Hominidae.